GACAGAGGGUGCGAACGUUGUUCGGAAUUACUGGGCGUAAAGCGCGUGUAGGCUGUCACGCAAGUCGGGUGUGAAAGCCCGGGGCUCAACCCCGGAAGUGCACUCGAAACUGCAUGACUUGAGUCUCGGAGAGGGCGGCGGAAUUCUGGGUGUAGAGGUGAAAUUCGUAGAUAUCCAGAGGAACACCGGUGGCGAAGGCGGCCGCCUGGACGAGCACUGACGCUGAGACGCGAAAGCGUGGGGAGCAAACAGG
RNAcentral lists this ribosomal RNA (253 nucleotides) under uncultured bacterium. RNAcentral describes it as "partial 16S ribosomal RNA". It matches the Rfam family "Bacterial small subunit ribosomal RNA", at positions 524 to 776 of the family's 1533-position model. The record is from RNAcentral.